Non-coding RNA from Notechis scutatus (mainland tiger snake), 947 nucleotides. Lineage: Eukaryota; Metazoa; Chordata; Lepidosauria; Squamata; Elapidae. The record is from RefSeq and is a predicted model, not a curated record.
UCCGCUGAUCUUCAGCGCUACCGGUUGAACUGGUAGGAUAGCAUCACUGCUUCCAAUGCAGUGACAAAAUGAAGCUUUGAUGCCAUAUGAUUUAGCAAACACACAGAACCUAUUCUGACUGUUAAAACGAAAGGAUGCUUGACUGCCAACAUUUUCUCUGAGAAUAUUUCUCCACGUCGAUAACUGAAGAAUUCCCAAUGGGAGUUAAAAAAACAAAACUGAAUUUAACCAGAACACAGGUUACAAAAUGCUCUAUCGUACAAUAAUUGAUUUUGUGAUACAUCAGGCGGGAGUUCACAUAGAGAUUAUUUUCACUUAAGCCUCUGGUUGAUCGUGAGUUUAGAUCCUAAAGGUGAAGAACCAGCACACAAUAAGUAGAAGGCUAGCUGCAGAGGUUUAUUGUAUACUUUGCAGAAGUCAGAAUGCACUUCAGGAGCUAGAAGGGUUUCACUCUAGCUGACUGAUGGAAAUUACAAAGAAAAGUUGUUUUGGAAGGGGAUACAGAGGACUAAACAAGAAGGCUCUAAGCAGAGUAAAUGGAAUUUGGAAUCAAAAGAUGACAUGAUCUGGAGUCAAAGUGAGGCAGCUGAGUUCACUAGUUCACGGGAAAGGCUUUGACCUGAAACCCUGAUGAUCUGUCAUCAGAAUGGUUGAUAAAGAUAUGAAUGAGCUACAGUGGUGACAUGUCGCUGACAGGAACCUGGAGAUAGAGUAUGCUCAAUGAGUACUGUUGAUGCCCAAGCAUCCCAUUUUAUUAAAAGAAUCCAGAUUAAUCUUGAUUUGUUUAGCAUAUACAACAUGGAUCAGCAAAAUAGGAAUGCCUUUAGCAAAUGAAAAUAGUCAAGUGUACAAUAGUGGGGCAAUCAACCCAGCUUAGCUGUUAUUCUGCUGCUGUUUCUUUUCACCAUGAUUGUUUUGGUUCACACAUGCAUAAUAGUCUCAAGUGA